GAUGAAGAACGUAGCGAAAUGCGAUAAGUAGUGUGAAUUGCAGAAUUCAGUGAAUCAUCGAAUCUUUGAACGCACAUUGCGCCCCUUGUUAUUCCAUGGGGCAUGCCUGUUCGAGCGUCAUUUGUACCUUCAAGCUCUGCUUGGUGUUGGGUGUUUGUCUCGCCUCUGCGUGUAGACUCGCCUCAAAACAAUUGGCAGCCGGCGUAUUGAUUUCGGAGCGCAGUACAUCUCGCGCUUUGCACUCAUAACGACGACGUCCAAAAGUACAUUUUUACACUCUUGACCUCGGAUCAGGUAGGGAUACCCGCUGAACUUAAGCAUAUCAAUAAGCGGAGGA
This 337-nucleotide unclassified non-coding RNA is filed under the name soil metagenome. RNAcentral describes it as "partial contains 5.8S ribosomal RNA, internal transcribed spacer 2, and large subunit ribosomal RNA". The stretch from base 1 to 120 matches the Rfam family "5.8S ribosomal RNA", at positions 35 to 154 of the family's 154-position model. The record is from RNAcentral.